This 398-nucleotide ribosomal RNA is filed under the name uncultured cyanobacterium. RNAcentral describes it as "bacterial SSU rRNA". It matches the Rfam family "Bacterial small subunit ribosomal RNA", at positions 382 to 795 of the family's 1533-position model. Lineage: Bacteria; Bacillati; Cyanobacteriota. The record is from RNAcentral.
CCUGACGGAGCAAGACCGCGUGAGGGAGGAAGGCUCUUGGGUUGUAAACCUCUUUUCUCAGGGAAGAAGCUCUGACGGUACCUGAGGAAUCAGCCUCGGCUAACUCCGUGCCAGCAGCCGCGGUAAUACGGAGGAGGCAAGCGUUAUCCGGAAUUAUUGGGCGUAAAGCGUCCGCAGGUGGCGAUUCAAGUCUGCUGUCAAAGCACGGGGCUUAACUCCGUUAAGGCAGUGGAAACUGAAUAGCUAGAGUGCCGUAGGGGUAGAGGGAAUUCCCGGUGUAGCGGUGAAAUGCGUAGAGAUCGGGAAGAACAUCGGUGGCGAAAGCGCUCUACUGGACGGCAACUGACACUCAGGGACGAAAGCUAGGGGAGCGAAUGGGAUUAGAUACCCCAGUAGUC